This 287-nucleotide unclassified non-coding RNA is filed under the name Hevea brasiliensis (rubber tree). The record is from RNAcentral. Lineage: Eukaryota; Viridiplantae; Streptophyta; Magnoliopsida; Malpighiales; Euphorbiaceae.
CAUAUGCUUACCUAAGGAGCUUCUGAUUGCAUGAAUGAUUUAAUACAACUUAUCAAAGUUGAUAUCACAGCCUGUGUAUCUCAAUGAGAAUUGAUAUUUUACUUAAAAUUAUUAGGCAAGUGUUAAGCCCCAAGAUUCUUCUGGCUUAACCAAGAUGUUUGAGCAGGCAUAAAGAGAGGAGAAAUGAGAAAGAAAAGGAGAGAGAAGGAAGAAGCAGCGGAGAAAGUGAAGAAAGACAGAGAUAAGAAGAAAGGGAAGAUUUAGGAGAGAGGAGAAGAAGAAUUUAG